ACCACGCGCCGCCCUCCUCCUUCCCCGGCGCCGGCCGCCUCCCUCCACUACGCGCCGCUCCUCCUUCCCCGGCGCCGGCCGCCUCCCUCCACCACGCGCCGCCCUCCUUCCCCUGCGCCGGCCACCUACCUCCAUCGUGCAGAUCCACGCCAUCCCCGUACUCCUCCUUCAUCCUGCUGGGAGAUCUCGUGCGCCGCCCUCUGGCAGCCGGUGAUGCUUCCCCGCCACCACUCUGCCUCCUUCCCGAUGGGGCAACGAUGCCGCGCGUACAGGAAGUUCAUCGCCGCCAUCUCAGGCCGUUCAAUGUCGACGUCUUGGACGCGCCAUGCUCCAACGCCAUGGCUUGGGCUUCAGCAGCAAACAAUGGAGCCUACAGGGGGAGCCGCAGGGUUGAGGACGUCCUGUUCGAUAGUACAACUGCUUGCUCGGCCGCCGGUCACUCAAGGAGCUUGUCAUUGCCUACCGUGCAACCAUCAAGCGUGUGCUAAUUGUGACUGAGGUUGCACUGCCCAGCAAUACAGGCAGCAGUUUCACACUACAGGUAAAUGACAUUGCCUCUGUGAGAUAAUUAUCUUGCAAAUGAUCAGCAAGAAGAUUUACAGUUUAUUUAUGUGUUUAUUUAGCUCCACCCAAUACUGUAAAAAUGCAUGAGUCUAAUACCCUGUGGCCUAGCUGACCGAAUUAGCAUGGAAGCUUCUCCUUUCACCAUGAAAUAAAUGAUAGAUUCAACAGUUGCUAGGUAAAUCACAAAUCUAUUUACUACAUGUAUUACUACCCUACAUUCAUGUCGUCAGAAAAGUCCAUGUAUUACUACCAUGGGAGUUCAAAGAAAGGUCAUCUAUAAAAUAGUAUAACUUGUGAGCUUCUUGCAGACUAAUGACGAGUUACUAGAUAAACUUAGGCACCACACCACAGUCCAUUCACUGCCGCAUCCGAGGCUGUUCAAUGAUGCAACAACGAGGUCUGGCCUCCCCCCUUCCUAUUUUCAUGAAGCAUAUUCUGCAAAAAUAUCAGACGCUCUCAACUGAAUAAAAAGUGUGUCGCGCAAGUUCAGGUAUAACUGCUGCAGGAGUUCAAAAAUCUCAACAAACAAAGCUCAAACCAAAGUUCAAGAACUGUUUCCUUCAUAAACUAGUUUUCUUUUGGUUAAUUUGUUGUUCUGGACAUUACAGAUGUACAUUCUUCACCUAGUCGAGCAGCAAAGUUGUCGCACCAAAUCGAACUUGCUGCUGCACCAUCUCCACCAAGUCGAACUUGCAGCAGCCAGGUACCAUAGUCGCUUAACUUGAUCUCUCUGGUAGCUCAUCCGGCAAGACUGCUCAAUGGUAUGACUUCUUUGCACAAAAUCAGAUCUGGUAGUUUGUCUGAGAGACACAUUUGUUCUGUAUCGUACUGCACCUUGUGCUCCCUUCAUCCCAUCCAUGCUUAGAUGAGAUUUUUCUGUGCAAUCAGACUUGGGCUAGGGUCAAAAAAUUGGUGAUCUUAGUUCUGAAUUGCUGGGCAUGCAACUCCUCGUUUGUUAAUUGCUAAGUGAUAGUCUGAACAAUCGAUAAGGGAGCCGCUGUGCAUUACUAUUGAAACACAAGGUUGUUGCAUUUCUCAAAAAAAAGUCUAAACCAAGGGAGCCGCUGUGCACCAAUCCUCCCCGCCGUGCGGCGACCACCUCUGUCGCCCCGAGUUCCCAGCUGCAUGCAUUCAGGAGCAAGAAAAAAGAGAGAUUAAUUGUCCGUCCACACUGCCUCUCCUCCCAAGUCCACACUAGUUUUAUCACAAAAAGCAGAGGAUGUCUAUUUUAUUUCCUGAAACAAAAAUUAGGUGUUCUCAGUUCAGUACGUGAGCUAUCUCAAGUUCUUGGAAAACAUAUAAACAGUACGGUGUUUGUGCAAAAAAUUCAGACUGUUUUCUAAUUAUACAGCAGUUUACCAUAUGGUAGAAUUGUAGUUGUUCAGUAAAAAGGUUCACUACCCCAACUGGGGGAUUUUCAAUCCGUUUUGUCUUUCUUUUCCAACUGAAAGUUGUAGCAAAUGUGAACUGAAGCUGUUGUGGAGCAAAUUAGGAAUAGUUGCCUACUCUUUUGCCGCUGCUACCUUGCCACCUAGAUUAAUACUACUACUACUACUUAUCGUGUUGCUAAACCUCGUGCUCUGGACAAUUUGUGGGAAAGUCUGGAGGCACAAGUUGCUCCGCGACCGAGGAAGGCCCCGGUGCUUGCCAUGGCUGAAGACGGCCUCCAACCGCCGGGCCCAAAGCAGCCAGCCUUUGUUCGCAUGCGCGUCUCCUUCCUGCGUCACCUAGGUAUGCGCCACCACCCGCCGCGCUCGAUGCUUCCUACUCCCAUAGCCGUCCUCAGUUCAACCCCAUGGCGUCGAGAUGGUCGAGUUAGUCGCGAGCAGCAGUCCGCCGUACCUAGAAACUGGAUUUUUAUCUGCAAAAUCAGUUCACCGUACCUAGAACAACCAGUUCGAUCCAUCUCCUGAUUCUGAAAAUAUGAAUUGCGUUUACUGCCAAAAUUGAUGCUCUAUAGUUCACCAUGUAUAUAUGUCAUCAGUUCAAAAAAGACGUACAGAAAAAAGUUCAAUUGUAUGUGUUAAAACCAAGUUUGGUUUUCUACUAUAUGUCAGAUUAUUACAAAAUACAAUAAAAGAUUUUGCUCAUGUGGCUGUAAGCUCUAACCAUAUGGCAACAAAGAGAAAAAUGAGUAUGAAGUAUUGUUGUUUCCGUAUUGUUAAGUUCAGUAUGUAUUCCAUUUUCAGUACGUAAACAAACACACAGGAUCUUUAUAAGAGCAAAAACUACAAAAUGGAAAUCUGUAAGUUCAACUACAUAUAUUACAACAAUUGAAAAUACAAAAAAUUACAUCAGUUCAAUGACAGAAAAACAUGAGUUCGAAAAGUUUUUGACUCUUGAACUGAUAGCUGAAAGAUACGAUAUGUGUACUGUUGAUAAUCUCAAACAUGUGUUACUCAACUUUAGAAAACAUGUAAAAUUGUUGUGCUGCUUUGCGAUGUCUCCAGCAGUCCUACUUCUCCAUGACGACAAGGACGACAUCGCCAUGCGUGCACGCUCCAACCUGUCCCCUGUCGCAGCCCCACCACUCGUUGCCGAUGCACUCCAACCCGAGGACCACCAUGAUGGAGGUCGCCUCACAGCCUAGCGACGAGUGUUUGUUGGUUUCUCUUUCAUUUACGGACAUCUUGGGCUUGCUGGGUGCAUAAUCAAGAAGCCCAAUCAUCAUCAGGGAUGAAAAAAGGAGAGAAGCACGGGAAGAGGUACUAGUAGAAGAGGAAGAAGUAAUGUGAAAAAUGAGAUAAAUGUGAGAAUAGCAAGUAGUAAAGCAUGAGAGGGAUUCAGAUUUUGUUUUCACAUUCUUGCUGUACACGUACCUUUGGUCUGUAGAUGCACCGUAAUGGAUCUAGGAAGUAUGAAUGGUUAAUACCUCAAUGGUGCACUAUGCAUCUUUGGCAGGUUUUUAUGCAUUUUUGAAUGGUUGUGGAGCAAUUUAAUGGUGCGCUAUGCACUGAAGUAUACAUUGUUUAUAUGUUCUUGUACAUCGGCUCAUCAAGGUUGUACCAUACUGAAAUCUGGAGCAGUCUGGCAAAAAGUAUUUACAUCCUUCA
RNAcentral lists this ribosomal RNA (3617 nucleotides) under Triticum aestivum (bread wheat). Its description in RNAcentral is "partial small subunit ribosomal RNA". Lineage: Eukaryota; Viridiplantae; Streptophyta; Magnoliopsida; Poales; Poaceae. The record is from RNAcentral.